This is a microRNA precursor of Vulpes vulpes (red fox), 125 nucleotides long. Ensembl annotates it as microRNA 1296. NCBI's taxonomy places the organism in Eukaryota, Metazoa, Chordata, Mammalia, Carnivora, Canidae. The record is from Ensembl.
UGAAAUCAGCGAAUAACCUACCUAACUGGAUUAGGGCCCUGGCUCCAUCUCCUUUAGGAAAACCUUCUGUGGGGAGUGGGGCUUUGACCCUAACCCAGCUGGGCUGUAACACUGCUGCAUUUUCU